Molecule: ribosomal RNA, 116 nt
Filed under: Bangiopsis subsimplex
Lineage: Eukaryota; Rhodophyta; Stylonematophyceae; Stylonematales; Stylonemataceae
Source: RNAcentral
UGGUGUUUAUAGCAUAGUGGAACCACAUUAAUCCAUCCCGAACUUAAUGGUGAAACGCUAUAGCGGCGAUGAUAUUGAGAGGGGGGCCUCUUGAGAAAGUAGCACGAUGCCAAAUC